GCACCAGUGGUCUAGUGGUAGAAUUGUACGCUGCCACGGUACAGACCCAGGUUCGAUUCCCGGCUGGUGCA
This 71-nucleotide transfer RNA is filed under the name Thalictrum thalictroides. It matches the Rfam family "tRNA". Rfam says of the family: Transfer RNA (tRNA) molecules are approximately 80 nucleotides in length. Their secondary structure includes four short double-helical elements and three loops (D, anti-codon, and T loops). Lineage: Eukaryota; Viridiplantae; Streptophyta; Magnoliopsida; Ranunculales; Ranunculaceae. The record is from Rfam by way of RNAcentral.